AGUAUAUGGAGGCUUUAGUAUAAAAUGUAGUAUAAUUUAUUUUCAAUAAAUAGGUGUUUAAGUCUU
Molecule: transfer RNA, 66 nt
Filed under: Coronocyclus labiatus
Lineage: Eukaryota; Metazoa; Nematoda; Chromadorea; Rhabditida; Strongylidae
Description: tRNA-Glu
Source: RNAcentral